AUGGCUCAGAACGAACGCUGGCGGCAUGGAUUAGGCAUGCAAGUCGAACGGUGCAGCAAUGCAUAGUGGCGCAAGGGUGAGGAACGCGUGAGUAACCUGCCCUCAAGUUGGGAACAGCUUCUGGAAACGGAAAUUAAUACCGAAUGUGACCAUAGGAAGGCAUCUUCUGUUGGUUAAAGGCCGCAAGGUCGCUUGAGGAGGGGCUCGCGUCCCAUUAUGCUAGUUGGUGAGGUAACGGCCCACCAAGGCGAAGAUGGGUAGCUGGUCUGAGAGGACGAUCAGCCACACUGGGACUGAGAACUGCCCAGACUCCUACGGGAGGCUGCAGUCGAGAAUUUUGGGCAAUGGACGAAAGUCUGACCCAAGCAAUGCCGCGUGCGGGAUGAAGGUCUUCGGAUUGUAAACCGCUGUCAAGUGGGACGAAACAAAUGACGGUACCGCUGAAGGAAGUCACGGCUAACUACGUGCCAGCCGCUGC
This 478-nucleotide ribosomal RNA is filed under the name uncultured bacterium. Its description in RNAcentral is "bacterial SSU rRNA". It matches the Rfam family "Bacterial small subunit ribosomal RNA", at positions 19 to 518 of the family's 1533-position model. The record is from RNAcentral.